UUGAGGUGUCUGGUCGUACAAGAAGCAGGAGGGCGACAAGGGUUCUUCACCAAACCCUAACUCUCACAAAAAUUGAUCAAUUGAAGGAUCAAAUCAAGUCCAAAACGAAAAUCGAGCAUAGAUUAAUGAUCCCCAUUGCAAGGAGAUCAUAAGUUUGACGCCUAAUGAGCUAGAUGGAAGCUUGUGGAUGAAGCGGGUCAAACGGAGCAAGUACGGAAAGAAAAGCGUGGCAUGGAUGCAAGGAUGAACGGCUCGUAAAUUGGCGAUUCUAUGAAAUAGCAAGUAAGUGAAGACAAGGUAUUAAAACGGGUCAAUGUGUUGAUCCGAGCCAGGUACGUAUAAUUAUGUGGUAGUUAAAGUGCUAAUUUAGUCAAUUAGAUAGAGAUGGUCCUUCGCUGUAAAACGAAGGACAUAAAGUGGACCAAAAAGCCCUUAACGGGUGAACCGGGUAAACGACCGUUAGAGUUUGUUUAGAAACUUGUUUAUUGAUUUUGAAACCCUUAGAUACAUAUAAAAAGUAUGGGUAAAAACGUUUGCGGGUCAAAGUAGACUAAAAAGUAAAUUGUGGUUAAAUGCUUAGAGAGAUAUAAAUGAAUCGGUGAAUGCAAACGCCUACGUAAACUCUAGGAUGGGAGCGAAAACGUUAAGGUUUGACAAGCCCGGGAUGGGUAAAAUGAUAGGAAUUAACUAUUUUCUUUUUAGAGCAUGUAGUGAAAUAUUAAUACCAAACGGGUCGAAUAAUCACCUAAAGGACUUAUGAGUCAACAUUGGAUAAAUCAGAUUUUUAUGCAAACCAAAGUGAUAAUCGGGUCAGCAAUUUAAUUACGGACGCGUAGGAAAAAGUAUCGUGUAAAACGGACAUAUAGAUUAAAAGUUAUGACCAUUUGAAGUUUAAUUUUUGUUAAAAACUUGAGCUGGGCAGAAAAUGCAGGUCCAGAAACGGACCUGCUGGAAAUUAGUUUCCCCCACGCCACGCGACGGGAUCCGGUAAUUGGGGCGCCACACGCGACAGAACAAGGGACUCCUCCCGCGUGUCGCGGGAGGCAUAAAUUGGAAAAUUUUAUUUUAUUUUCAUUUGUUGAUAAAGGGACUUGAUAAAACUAGUUAUCUCAGUAUCAAAACUAACAUUGGUGUUGGUUUUGAUUACAGGUAAACUUUAGUAAGCUUACGGAUGAAGAUCAAGCUCGUUGAAGGACCGAACACAAUCAAGAUACAAGCUUCCGCACGGCGUUGCGUCGUAACUUUUAAACGACGAACUUAUUUAUAUUAUGUUGAAAACUUUUAAGUUGUAAAAGAUUUAAAUUACACGUAUUUUCUAAGGAUACUUAAUCGUAAUUACAUGUUUAUUUUCAUUUUUAUACGAAAACCUUUAAAAUAAUAACAAGGGUGUUACAAGUUGGUAAUCAGAGCUCAAGGUUAAAAGAAUAAAGUGUUCGGUUCGAGACUUGAUCGCAGAUCCGGUAAGUACAAGUAUGUUAAUGGUUUGGUUUUAUUAAAGUGUUGUGAACAACACAUAAGGUAUCGUGUAAUACACGUUACACCAACAAAAAUGAUUAGUAUAGUUAACGAAAUCACGUGCAGUAAAAAGCCUUGUAUUGCAAUACGUGCAUUUAUUAAUGUAGAAAUUACUAACUUUUGUAAAUGUUUAGUUGAAGGACGCUCGCAUCUGAAGAUGACGAGAGUUGAACGAAUUAUGGAUAUGACGGUGGAACGGUCUGAGGUAUGACAAGCUGAGUAUACUCACCAAGGACCUAAAUCGCGUAACGACCGCGAAUAAGAUUAAUGGCAAGGAACGCCCGUUGGGGCAAGCAUUACCAGUUUGACGCCUAACGAGCUAGAUGGAAGCUUGUGGAUGAAGUGGGUCAAACGGAGCAAGUACGGAAAGAAAAGCGUGGCAUGGAUGCAAGGAUGAACGGCUCGUAAAUUGGCGAUUCUAUGAAAUAGCAAGUAAGUGAAGACAAGGUAUUAAAACGGGUCAAUGUGUUGAUCCGAGCCAGGUAAACUUUAGUAAGCUUACGGAUGAAGAUCAAGCUCGUUGAAGGACCGAACACAAUCAAGAUACAAGCUUCCGCACGGCGUUGCGUCGUAACUUUUAAACAACAAACUUAUUUAUAUUAUGUUGAAAACUUUUAAGUUGUAAAAGAUUUAAAUUACACGUAUUUUCUAAGGAUACUUAAUCGUAAUUACAUGUUUAUUUUC
Molecule: long non-coding RNA, 2199 nt
Filed under: Helianthus annuus (common sunflower)
Lineage: Eukaryota; Viridiplantae; Streptophyta; Magnoliopsida; Asterales; Asteraceae
Description: hypothetical non coding rna
Source: RNAcentral